This 1340-nucleotide ribosomal RNA is filed under the name Shewanella sp. 18A. RNAcentral describes it as "16S ribosomal RNA". It matches the Rfam family "Bacterial small subunit ribosomal RNA", at positions 61 to 1359 of the family's 1533-position model. The record is from RNAcentral. Lineage: Bacteria; Pseudomonadati; Pseudomonadota; Gammaproteobacteria; Alteromonadales; Shewanellaceae.
GUUGUUAGCGGACCAGCAAGUAGCUUGCUACUUUGGUGGGGAGCGGCGGACGGGUUUUUUUUGCCUGGGAAUUUGCCCAUUCGAGGGGGAUAACAGUUGGAAACGACUGCUAAUACCGCAUACGCCCUACGGGGGAAAGGAGGGGACCUUCGGGCCUUCCGCGAAUGGAUAAGCCCAGGUGGGAUUAGCUAGUACGUGAGGAAUGGCUCACCUAGGCGACGAUCCCUAGCUGUUCUGAGAGGAUGAUCAACCACACUGGGACUGAGACACGGCCCAGACUCCUACGGGAGGCAGCAGUGGGGAAUAUUGCACAAUGGGCGAAAGCCUGAUGCAGCCAUGCCGCCGUGUGUGAAGAAGGCCUUCGGGUUGUAAAGCACUUUCAGCGAGGAGGAAAGGUUACUGGGCUAAUAUCCAAGUAGCUGUGACGUUACUCGCAGAAGAAGCACCCGGCUAACUCCGUGCCAGCAACCCGCGGGAAUACCGGAGGGGCGCGGAGCGUUAAUCGGGAAUUACUUGGGCGGUAAAAGCGGUGCCCAGGCCGGUUGUUAAGCGAAUGUGAAAGCCCCCGGGCUCAACCUGGGGAAACUGGCAUUUUGAACUGGCAAACUAGAGUUCUUGGUAAAGGGGGGUAGAAUUCCAGGUGUAAGCCGGUUGAAAUGCGUAAGAGAUUCUGGAAGGAAAAACCGGGGCGGAAAGACGGCCCCCUUGGAACAAAGACUGACGCUCAUGCACGAAAGCGUGGGGAGCCAAACCAGGAUUAGAUACCCUGGUAGUCCACGCCGUAAACGAUGUCUACUCGGAGUUUGGUGUCUUGAACACUGGGCUCUCAAGCUAACGCAUUAAGUAGACCGCCUGGGGAGUACGGCCGCAAGGUUAAAACUCAAAUGAAUUGACGGGGGCCCGCACAAGCGGUGGAGCAUGUGGUUUAAUUCAGAUGCAACGCGAAGAACCUUACCUACUCUUGACAUCCACAGAAUUUGGUAGAGAUUCCUUAGUGCCUUCGGGAACCGUGAGACAGGUGCUGCAUGGCUGUCGUCAGCUCGUGUUGUUAAAUGUUGGGUUAAGUCCCGCAACGAGCGCAACCCUUAUCCUUACUUGCCAGCGGGUCAUGCCGGGAACUUUAGGGAGACUGCCGGUGAUAACCCGGAGGAAGGUGGGGACGACGCCAAGUCAUCAUGGCCCUUACGAGUAGGGCUACACACGUGCUACAAUGGCGUAUACAGAGGGUUGCGAAUCCGCGAGGUGGAGCUAAUCUCACAAAGUACGUCGUAGUCCGGAUCGGAGUCUGCAACUCGACUCCGUGAAGUCGGAAUCGCUAGUAAUCUGGUAUCGGAAUGUCC